CCUGGUGGCAAUAGCGCUGUGGAACCACCUGAAUCCAUUCCGAACUCAGAAGUGAAACGCAGCUGCGACGAUGGUAGUGUGGCAGUUGCCAUGCGAGAGUAGUACAGCGACACCGGGA
Molecule: ribosomal RNA, 118 nt
Filed under: Rheinheimera sp.
Lineage: Bacteria; Pseudomonadati; Pseudomonadota; Gammaproteobacteria; Chromatiales; Chromatiaceae
Source: RNAcentral